This 253-nucleotide ribosomal RNA is filed under the name uncultured bacterium. Its description in RNAcentral is "partial 16S ribosomal RNA". It matches the Rfam family "Bacterial small subunit ribosomal RNA", at positions 524 to 776 of the family's 1533-position model. The record is from RNAcentral.
UACGUAGGGAGCAAGCGUUGUCCGGAUUUAUUGGGCGUAAAGAGCUCGUAGGCGGUUUAGAAAGUCAGGUGUGAAACCUCCAGCUCAACCUGGAGACGCCACUUGAUACUUCUAUGACUUGAGUUCGGUAGGGGACCAUGGAAUUCCUGGUGUAGCGGUGAAAUGCGCAGAUAUCAGGAGGAACACCGAUGGCGAAGGCAGUGGUCUGGGCCGAUACUGACGCUGAGGAGCGAAAGCGUGGGGAGCGAACAGG